GGCUGGUCCAAGUGCAGUGGUGUUCACAACUAGUUGAUCACAACCAGUUGCAGAUUUGUUCCUUCUCCACUCCUACUGCUUUACUUGACUAGCCUAAA
This 98-nucleotide Y RNA is filed under the name Propithecus coquereli (Coquerel's sifaka). RNAcentral describes it as "Y RNA (ENSPCOG00000007461.1)". It matches the Rfam family "Y RNA". Rfam says of the family: Y RNAs are components of the Ro ribonucleoprotein particle (Ro RNP), in association with Ro60 and La proteins. The record is from Rfam by way of RNAcentral. Lineage: Eukaryota; Metazoa; Chordata; Mammalia; Primates; Indriidae.